RNAcentral lists this long non-coding RNA (483 nucleotides) under Brachypodium distachyon (stiff brome). Its description in RNAcentral is "long non-coding RNA (BDIS_LNC001421)". The record is from RNAcentral. Lineage: Eukaryota; Viridiplantae; Streptophyta; Magnoliopsida; Poales; Poaceae.
GCACAGUCGGGCGCGGUUGGACUGGGCCGGUUCGGCCCAAAAUGGCCGGGCCGGUCCAUUUGCUCCCCUUUUUUUUUUCUUUUACCCUUUUCUUUUUCUGUUUUUCUCAUUUCUUUGAUAUCUUUUGAGUUUGAACUCCAAAUUGGUGCAAAUAAAUUUCAGAAAAUUUGUAAAAUCAUGUUCUACCAAGAUACAACUUUUGGAAGUAGUUUCUCUUCAAAAUAAAAUAUGUAAAAAAAUACAUUUGCCCUAUAAAUGUUUUAGGGCCAUAUAACUAUUUAAAUAAAAUACUUUUUCAACUCCAAAUAAUUAUCCAAAAAUUAUGGGAUAGCUCAUAUAUGCAAUAAACCCCUUUUAUACUUGAACCUUAAUGGUUUGAAGAUCCAUAGUUCAAAUGGGUGUAAACCCUAGGGUUUAAAAUGAAACAAAAAUCUUUCCAAAGCCCUUUUGAGAUUCAAAUUUGAAUUCAAAUAUGCAAUUGUG